This 71-nucleotide transfer RNA is filed under the name Heterocephalus glaber (naked mole-rat). It matches the Rfam family "tRNA". Rfam says of the family: Transfer RNA (tRNA) molecules are approximately 80 nucleotides in length. Their secondary structure includes four short double-helical elements and three loops (D, anti-codon, and T loops). Lineage: Eukaryota; Metazoa; Chordata; Mammalia; Rodentia; Bathyergidae. The record is from Rfam by way of RNAcentral.
GGGGAUGUAGCUCAGUGGUAGAGCACUUGCCUAGUAUGUGGGAGGCUUGAGUUUGAGUCUUAGCACUUCAA